GAUCCACAAAUUUUGAGGUCAACAACCUUAGGAUUAGGAAUGUGAUUACGUUGUGUGGUGAAAUUGUCAAGUGGGAUGGGAGUAUUUUUAUUUAUUUUUUGAUCGGUAAAUGUAAAUAUAUAGAUAAAAAAUAUAUCAUGUACAAGUACACCGGUCAUACCCGGGCGAGACAAUGUCCAUAAUCAAAUACAAGUACACCGGACAUACCCGGGCGAAUCAAUGUCCAAAAACAUAUAAAAAGAUCAAUGAUCAAAACACUAAUAAACCCCAGUAGCAAGAGAAUCAAAACAUUCGGAUACAAAACGAACAUUGCUUUGUAUAUGUGUGUUUUGAUUUACCUAACAAUGGAUUCAACUUGCACUUUCGUACCAUCUAAAAUACAACAAUUCCUAGCCAUCCAAAUGUAGUAGACAAUAGUAGCAAAAGCAAUCCGUUUAACAUGGCUCGGCCAACUCUUCCCCCGCGCUUCUUUUUUCAACCAUUUAAAAGUGCUCGAUAAAGUAGACAUGGAACGCCUAAUACCCAACCAAAAUCUGAUCUGUUUCCAUACCUCGGAAGUGACCCGGCAUCCAAAAAAUAAGUGCUGGACAGAUUCGUCCAACACCUCACAAAGUGGGCAGAUUCGGUCCAUCUCCAAGUGCAAUAGCUUGUCCCUCGUCUGGAGCUUACAAUGGGCAGCUAACCAUAAAAUAAACGCGUGUUUGGGGGUGAUGGAACCAUCCCAAACCGUUUUGGACCAGAGAAGAAAUCCCCCCUUCGGCCUGAAGUAGUCAUAAGCUGCUGAAGUAGAAAAACUUCCAGAUUCUGUCCAGCUACACAAUCCGUCCAUUGCUGAAAAUCCGUGACUUUGGGCAGCAAUAAUGCUGUCCCGAAUGUCAAUCAGCUUCUUAAUGAGUGGGGAAUCUUGUUUCUUCACGCUAUACACCCAAAAAUCUGUCCCUUGAACGUAGACUCCAUUAAUCCAUUUAAUUCAAAGUGAGUCCUUCUUGCAAUGGAUAUUCCAAAGAGUUUUAGAAAGGAGUGCUGAAUUCCAACAUUUCAAGUCCCUAAAACCGAGCCCCCCCCUCAACCUUAGGGAGGCAAAUAGUGUUCCAAGCAACCAAAGGUUUCUUACCCCCCCCCCCCAAAGGAAACUACGACAAAGACUAUUGAUUUUAGAAAUUGCCGUAGCCGGGAUAGGAAGGAUAGAAAGCCAAAAGCAUUCCAAACCUUGAAGCACGACUUGCACAAACUCGAUCCUACAUGCAUAUGAUAGAGAGGAAGUCGACCAAGAACCAAUAUAAGAUGAGAUUUUAUUUGUGAGCACAUCAUAAGAACCAACUUUCAAUUUUUCCGCCGCAAGUGGUAUGCCCAAGUACCUAAACGGCAUGGGGCCAAUGGGGAGAUUUGUGAGAGCUAGAAUAUCCUCCAAAUCUUUACCAUGAAUACUCGCGGUGUAGAUGCAAGAUUUCCCAACAUUUAUAUUCAAUCCCGACAUGCCUCCAAAAAUCGAAAGGCAAUUCAAUAAAAUAUCCAAAAACAUGACAUCCCCUCUAGCAAAUAACAUCAAGUCAUCCGCAAAAGCCAAGUGUGUGAUCUUCAAU
Molecule: long non-coding RNA, 1583 nt
Filed under: Olea europaea subsp. europaea
Lineage: Eukaryota; Viridiplantae; Streptophyta; Magnoliopsida; Lamiales; Oleaceae
Source: RNAcentral